GAUGAAGAACGUAGCGAAAUGCGAUAAGUAAUGUGAAUUGCAGAAUUCAGUGAAUCAUCGAAUCUUUGAACGCACAUUGCGCCCCUUGGUAUUCCGGUGGGCAUGCCUGUUCGAGCGUCAUUUCAACCCUCAAGCUCUGCUUGGUAUUGGGCUCCGUCCUCCUCGGACGCGCCUCAAAGACCUCGGCGGUGGCGUCUUGCCUCAAGCGUAGUAGAAACACCUCGCUUUGGAGUGCAUGGCGUCGCCCGCCGGACGAAACCUUUUGUAUUUUCUCAAAGGUUGACCUCGGAUCAGGUAGGGAUACCCGCUGAACUUAAGCAUAUCAAUAAGCGGAGGA
Molecule: unclassified non-coding RNA, 337 nt
Filed under: soil metagenome
Description: partial contains 5.8S ribosomal RNA, internal transcribed spacer 2, and large subunit ribosomal RNA
Rfam family: 5.8S ribosomal RNA (bases 1-120)
Source: RNAcentral